UUAACCGUAUAGGGGAGCCGUAGGGAAACCGAGUCUUAACCGGGCGUUAAGUUGCAGGGUAUAGACCCGAAACCCGGUGAUCUAGCCAUGGGCAGGUUGAAGGUUGGGUAACACUAACUGGAGGACCGAACCGACUAAUGUUGAAAAAUUAGCGGAUGACCUGUGGCUGGGGGUGAAAGGCCAAUCAAACCGGGAGAUAGCUGGUUCUCCCCGAAAGCUAUUUAGGUAGCGCCUCGUGAACUCAUCUCCGGGGGUAGAGC
Molecule: ribosomal RNA, 260 nt
Filed under: Salmonella enterica subsp. enterica serovar Kentucky
Lineage: Bacteria; Pseudomonadati; Pseudomonadota; Gammaproteobacteria; Enterobacterales; Enterobacteriaceae
Description: partial 23S ribosomal RNA
Rfam family: Bacterial large subunit ribosomal RNA
Source: RNAcentral